GGAUCGUUGGUUUAGGGGUAUGAUUCCUGCUUCGCGUGCAGGAGGUCCCGGGUUCAAAUCCCGGACGAGCCC
RNAcentral lists this transfer RNA (72 nucleotides) under Schistocerca americana (American grasshopper). Its description in RNAcentral is "tRNA-Ala". It matches the Rfam family "tRNA". Rfam says of the family: Transfer RNA (tRNA) molecules are approximately 80 nucleotides in length. Their secondary structure includes four short double-helical elements and three loops (D, anti-codon, and T loops). Lineage: Eukaryota; Metazoa; Arthropoda; Insecta; Orthoptera; Acrididae. The record is from RNAcentral.